GAGAGGAAGGUCCCCCACACUGGUACUGAGACACGGACCAGACUCCUACGGGAGGCAGCAGUGAGGAAUAUUGGUCAAUGGGCUUACGCCUGAACCAGCCAAGUCGCGUGAGGGAAGACUGCCCUAUGGGUUGUAAACCUCUUUUGUCAGGGAGCAACGCCGGCUACGUGUAGCCGGACUGAGAGUACCUGAAGAAAAAGCAUCGGCUAACUCCGUGCCAGCAGCCGCGGUAAUACGGAGGAUGCGAGCGUUAUCCGGAUUUAUUGGGUUUAAAGGGUGCGUAGGCGGAAUGCCAAGUCAGCGGUAAAAUCGCGGGGCUCAACCUCGCUCCGCCGUUGAAACUGGCGUUCUUGAGUGGGCGAGAAGUAUGCGGAAUGCGUGGUGUAGCGGUGAAAUGCAUAGAUAUCACGCAGAACUCCGAUUGCGAAGGCAGCAUACCGGCGCCCAACUGACGCUGAAGCACGAAAGCGUGGGUAUCGAACAGGAUUAGAUACCCUGGUAGUCCACGCAGUAAACGAUGAAUACUAGCUGUUCGGGGCAAAUGAGCCUUGAGUGGC
This 557-nucleotide ribosomal RNA is filed under the name uncultured bacterium. RNAcentral's name for it is "bacterial SSU rRNA". It matches the Rfam family "Bacterial small subunit ribosomal RNA", at positions 294 to 847 of the family's 1533-position model. The record is from RNAcentral.